GACGAACGCUGGCGGCGUGCUUAACACAUGCAAGUCGAACGGAAAGGCCCUGCUUUUGUGUGGUGCUCGCGUGGCGAACGGGUGAGUAACACGUGAGUAACCUUCCCUUGACUUUGGGAUAACUUCCGGUAACCGGGGCUAAUACCUGCUUGGAGCUCCUGCUGCAUGGUGGGGGUUGGAAAUUUUCGGCGGUUGGGGAUGGACUCGCGGCUUAUCAGCUUGUUGGUGGGGUAGUGGCUUACCAAGGCUUUGACGGGUAAUCGGCCUGAGAGGGUGACCGGCCACAUUGGUACUGAGAUACGGCCCAGACUCCUGCGGGAGUCAGUAGUGGGGAAUAUUGAACAAUGGGCGGAAGACUGAUGCAGCAACGCCGCGUGCGGGAUGACGGCCUUCGGGUUGUAAACCGCUUUCGCCUGUGACGAAGCGUGAGUGACGGUAAUGGGUAAAGAAGCACCGGCUAACUACGUG
RNAcentral lists this ribosomal RNA (468 nucleotides) under uncultured bacterium. RNAcentral's name for it is "partial 16S ribosomal RNA". It matches the Rfam family "Bacterial small subunit ribosomal RNA", at positions 28 to 507 of the family's 1533-position model. The record is from RNAcentral.